UACGGAGGGUGAAAGCGUUAUCCGGAUUCACUGGGUUUAAAGGGUGCGUAGGUGGGUAUGUAAGUCAGUGGUGAAAUCCCCGAGCUUAACUUGGGAACUGCCGUUGAUACUAUAUAUCUUGAAUAUCGCGUAGGUAAGCGGAAUAUGUCAUGUAGCGGUGAAAUGCUUAGAUAUGACAUAGAACACCAAUUGCGAAGGCAGCUUACUUCACGAUUAUUGACACUGAGGCACGAAAGCGUGGGGAGCAAACAGG
This 253-nucleotide ribosomal RNA is filed under the name uncultured bacterium. RNAcentral describes it as "partial 16S ribosomal RNA". It matches the Rfam family "Bacterial small subunit ribosomal RNA", at positions 524 to 776 of the family's 1533-position model. The record is from RNAcentral.